Molecule: ribosomal RNA, 153 nt
Filed under: Penicillium chrysogenum
Lineage: Eukaryota; Fungi; Ascomycota; Eurotiomycetes; Eurotiales; Aspergillaceae
Also listed under: 3 other names
Description: 5.8S ribosomal RNA
Rfam family: 5.8S ribosomal RNA
About the family: 5.8S ribosomal RNA (5.8S rRNA) is a component of the large subunit of the eukaryotic ribosome.
Source: RNAcentral
AACUUUCAACAACGGAUCUCUUGGUUCCGGCAUCGAUGAAGAACGCAGCGAAAUGCGAUACGUAAUGUGAAUUGCAAAUUCAGUGAAUCAUCGAGUCUUUGAACGCACAUUGCGCCCCCUGGUAUUCCGGGGGGCAUGCCUGUCCGAGCGUCA